GGUUAAGCGACUAAGCGUACACGGUGGAUGCCCUGGCAGUCAGAGGCGAUGAAGGACGUGCUAAUCUGCGAUAAGCGUCGGUAAGGUGAUAUGAACCGUUAUAACCGGCGAUUUCCGAAUGGGGAAACCCAGUGUGAUUCGUCACACUAUCAUUAACUGAAUCCAUAGGUUAAUGAGGCGAACCGGGGGAACUGAAACAUCUAAGUACCCCGAGGAAAAGAAAUCAACCGAGAUUCCCCCAGUAGCGGCGAGCGAACGGGGAGCAGCCCAGAGCCUGAAUCAGUGUGUGUGUUAGUGGAAGCGUCUGGAAAGGCGUGCGAUACAGGGUGACAGCCCCGUACACAAAAAUGCACAUACUGUGAGCUCGAUGAGUAGGGCGGGACACGUGGUAUCCUGUCUGAAUAUGGGGGGACCAUCCUCCAAGGCUAAAUACUCCUGACUGACCGAUAGUGAACCAGUACCGUGAGGGAAAGGCGAAAAGAACCCCGGCGAGGGGAGUGAAAAAGAACCUGAAACCGUGUACGUACAAGCAGUGGGAGCACGCUUAGGCGUGUGACUGCGUACCUUUUGUAUAAUGGGUCAGCGACUUAUAUUCUGUAGCAAGGUUAACCGAAUAGGGGAGCCGAAGGGAAACCGAGUCUUAACUGGGCGUUAAGUUGCAGGGUAUAGACCCGAAACCCGGUGAUCUAGCCAUGGGCAGGUUGAAGGUUGGGUAACACUAACUGGAGGACCGAACCGACUAAUGUUGAAAAAUUAGCGGAUGACUUGUGGCUGGGGGUGAAAGGCCAAUCAAACCGGGAGAUAGCUGGUUCUCCCCGAAAGCUAUUUAGGUAGCGCCUCGUGAAUUCAUCUCCGGGGGUAGAGCACUGUUUCGGCAAGGGGGUCAUCCCGACUUACCAACCCGAUGCAAACUGCGAAUACCGGAGAAUGUUAUCACGGGAGACACACGGCGGGUGCUAACGUCCGUCGUGAAGAGGGAAACAACCCAGACCGCCAGCUAAGGUCCCAAAGUCAUGGUUAAGUGGGAAACGAUGUGGGAAGGCCCAGACAGCCAGGAUGUUGGCUUAGAAGCAGCCAUCAUUUAAAGAAAGCGUAAUAGCUCACUGGUCGAGUCGGCCUGCGCGGAAGAUGUAACGGGGCUAAACCAUGCACCGAAGCUGCGGCAGCGACACUAUGUGUUGUUGGGUAGGGGAGCGUUCUGUAAGCCUGUGAAGGUGUACUGUGAGGUAUGCUGGAGGUAUCAGAAGUGCGAAUGCUGACAUAAGUAACGAUAAAGCGGGUGAAAAGCCCGCUCGCCGGAAGACCAAGGGUUCCUGUCCAACGUUAAUCGGGGCAGGGUGAGUCGACCCCUAAGGCGAGGCCGAAAGGCGUAGUCGAUGGGAAACAGGUUAAUAUUCCUGUACUUGGUGUUACUGCGAAGGGGGGACGGAGAAGGCUAUGUUGGCCGGGCGACGGUUGUCCCGGUUUAAGCGUGUAGGCUGGUUUUCCAGGCAAAUCCGGAAAAUCAAGGCUGAGGCGUGAUGACGAGGCACUACGGUGCUGAAGCAACAAAUGCCCUGCUUCCAGGAAAAGCCUCUAAGCAUCAGGUAACAUCAAAUCGUACCCCAAACCGACACAGGUGGUCAGGUAGAGAAUACCAAGGCGCUUGAGAGAACUCGGGUGAAGGAACUAGGCAAAAUGGUGCCGUAACUUCGGGAGAAGGCACGCUGAUAUGUAGGUGAAGCGACUUGCUCGUGGAGCUGAAAUCAGUCGAAGAUACCAGCUGGCUGCAACUGUUUAUUAAAAACACAGCACUGUGCAAACACGAAAGUGGACGUAUACGGUGUGACGCCUGCCCGGUGCCGGAAGGUUAAUUGAUGGGGUUAGCCGCAAGGCGAAGCUCUUGAUCGAAGCCCCGGUAAACGGCGGCCGUAACUAUAACGGUCCUAAGGUAGCGAAAUUCCUUGUCGGGUAAGUUCCGACCUGCACGAAUGGCGUAAUGAUGGCCAGGCUGUCUCCACCCGAGACUCAGUGAAAUUGAACUCGCUGUGAAGAUGCAGUGUACCCGCGGCAAGACGGAAAGACCCCGUGAACCUUUACUAUAGCUUGACACUGAACAUUGAGCCUUGAUGUGUAGGAUAGGUGGGAGGCUUUGAAGUGUGGACGCCAGUCUGCAUGGAGCCGACCUUGAAAUACCACCCUUUAAUGUUUGAUGUUCUAACGUUGACCCGUAAUCCGGGUUGCGGACAGUGUCUGGUGGGUAGUUUGACUGGGGCGGUCUCCUCCUAAAGAGUAACGGAGGAGCACGAAGGUUGGCUAAUCCUGGUCGGACAUCAGGAGGUUAGUGCAAUGGCAUAAGCCAGCUUGACUGCGAGCGUGACGGCGCGAGCAGGUGCGAAAGCAGGUCAUAGUGAUCCGGUGGUUCUGAAUGGAAGGGCCAUCGCUCAACGGAUAAAAGGUACUCCGGGGAUAACAGGCUGAUACCGCCCAAGAGUUCAUAUCGACGGCGGUGUUUGGCACCUCGAUGUCGGCUCAUCACAUCCUGGGGCUGAAGUAGGUCCCAAGGGUAUGGCUGUUCGCCAUUUAAAGUGGUACGCGAGCUGGGUUUAGAACGUCGUGAGACAGUUCGGUCCCUAUCUGCCGUGGGCGCUGGAGAACUGAGGGGGGCUGCUCCUAGUACGAGAGGACCGGAGUGGACGCAUCACUGGUGUUCGGGUUGUCAUGCCAAUGGCACUGCCCGGUAGCUAAAUGCGGAAGAGAUAAGUGCUGAAAGCAUCUAAGCACGAAACUUGCCCCGAGAUGAGUUCUCCCUGACUCCUUGAGAGUCCUGAAGGAACGUUGAAGACGACGACGUUGAUAGGCCGGGUGUGUAAGCGCAGCGAUGCGUUGAGCUAACCGGUACUAAUGAACCGUGAGGCUUAACCUU
This 2905-nucleotide ribosomal RNA is filed under the name Escherichia coli. RNAcentral's name for it is "23S ribosomal RNA". It matches the Rfam family "Bacterial large subunit ribosomal RNA". Lineage: Bacteria; Pseudomonadati; Pseudomonadota; Gammaproteobacteria; Enterobacterales; Enterobacteriaceae. The record is from RNAcentral.